This is a long non-coding RNA of Harpia harpyja (harpy eagle), 427 nucleotides long. RefSeq lists it as uncharacterized. The record is from RefSeq and is a predicted model, not a curated record. The transcript is spliced from 2 exons. NCBI's taxonomy places the organism in Eukaryota, Metazoa, Chordata, Aves, Accipitriformes, Accipitridae.
UGUGUGUUGUUUUUGCAGGUGAUGACAGGGCACGAGGUGCUUGAAGGAACCUUGUGUUUAGGUGACAUGGCUGCUAUGGAGGUUGGACUGUGACAUGUGGCACUGUGAAAGCUAAGUAUCGGGUUGAAAAUGCACGGAUGGUGGAGAUGAUGGUGUGGAAGUGGACAGUCUGUCAAGAUGAGCAGAGCUCACUCGUUUUCAGCUUGGGAACAGGGAUCGUGGAAGUAACGUCACCUCGGGGAGGAAAACCUCUGGACGUGAAGCGACAGAUGUAAUGGGAGCGAGGAAUGUGGAAAAGACCACUCCGUAGAGAAUUGCAGGCACUAUAUAGUGGCAAUUCUUCUUAAGGUAAUGCUAAAGUUUUGGAGUUUAAAUGUAUUUGUAAAAAUAAUGAUUAAAAGAGGAGUGAAACUAAUAGUGGCAAAUA